Molecule: non-coding RNA, 73 nt
Organism: Mesocricetus auratus (golden hamster)
Lineage: Eukaryota; Metazoa; Chordata; Mammalia; Rodentia; Cricetidae
Source: Rfam
GCCCAGCUAGCUCAGUUGGUAGAGCACAGGACUCUUAAUCCUAGGGGCAUGGGUUUAAGCCCCACUUUAGGUA